AGAGUUUGAUCCUGGCUCAGAACGAACGCUGGCGGCGUGCCUAACACAUGCAAGUCGAACGAGAAAUCAUGCCUUCGGGUGUGAGAGUAAAGUGGCGCACGGGUGAGUAACGCGUGGGUAACCCGCCCCCGAAUCUGGGAUAACUUCGCGAAAGCGUUGCUAAUACCGGAUAUUGUCCUUUUGUCUGUGGACUUUUGGGUGAAAGGUGACCUCUUCAUGAAAGUUGCCGUUCAGGGAAGGGCCCGCGUACCAUUAGCUUGUUGGUGGGGUAAUGGCCUACCAAGGCUACUAUGGUUAGCUGGUCUGAGAGGAUGAUCAGCCACACUGGAACUGAAACACGGUCCAGACUCCUACGGGAGGCAGCAGUGAGGAAUUUUUGCGCAAUGGGGGAAACCCUGACGCAGCAACGCCGCGUGAGUGAAGAAGGCCUUCGGGUCGUAAAGCUCUGUCAAGUGGGAAAAAAUGCCCUGGAUUAAUAGUCCAGGGAACUGAUGGUACCACUGGAGGAAGCACCGGCUAACUCCGUGCCAGCAGCCGCGGUAAUACGGAGGGUGCAAGCGUUGUUCGGAAUUACUGGGCGUAAAGAGCGUGUAGGCGGUUUGACAAGUCAGAUGUGAAAGCCCUGGGCUUAACCCAGGAAGUGCAUUUGAAACUGUCUUACUUGAGUAUGGGAGAGGAGAGUGGAAUUCCCAGUGUAGAGGUGAAAUUCGUAGAUAUUGGGAGGAACACCCGUGGCGAAGGCGACUCUCUGGACCAAUACUGACGCUGAGACGCGAAAGCGUGGGGAGCAAACAGGAUUAGAUACCCUGGUAGUCCACGCCGUAAACGAUGAGAACUAGGUGUAGCGGGUAUUGACCCCUGCUGUGCCGAAGUUAACGCAUUAAGUUCUCCGCCUGGGGAGUACGGCCGCAAGGCUAAAACUCAAAGGAAUUGACGGGGGCCCGCACAAGCGGUGGAGCAUGUGGUUUAAUUCGACGCAACGCGAAGAACCUUACCUGGGUUUGACAUCCUCUGACCGUCUGGGAAACCAGAUUUUUCCGACUCUGUCGGAACAGAGUGACAGGUGCUGCAUGGCUGUCGUCAGCUCGUGUCGUGAGAUGUUGGGUUAAGUCCCGCAACGAGCGCAACCCUUAUUUUUAGUUGCCAGUAUUAAGUUAGGCACUCUAAAGAGACUGCCUCGGUUAACGAGGAGGAAGGUGGGGAUGACGUCAAGUCCUCAUGGCCUUUAUACCCAGGGCUACACACGUGCUACAAUGGGCUGUACAAAGGGCUGCGAGUCCGCGAGGAUGAGCUAAUCCCAAAAAGCAGCUCUCAGUUCGGAUUGGAGUCUGCAACUCGACUUCAUGAAGUUGGAAUCGCUAGUAAUCGUGGAUCAGCAUGCCACGGUGAAUACGUUCCC
Molecule: ribosomal RNA, 1399 nt
Filed under: metagenome
Description: bacterial SSU rRNA
Rfam family: Bacterial small subunit ribosomal RNA
Source: RNAcentral